This 497-nucleotide ribosomal RNA is filed under the name uncultured bacterium. RNAcentral's name for it is "partial 16S ribosomal RNA". It matches the Rfam family "Bacterial small subunit ribosomal RNA", at positions 28 to 507 of the family's 1533-position model. The record is from RNAcentral.
GAUGAACGCUGGCGGCGUUCCUAAUACAUUCAAUUCUAUCUAACAGAUGAGGAGCUUGCUCCUCUGACGUUAGCGGCGGACGGGUGAGUAACACGUGGAUAACCUACCUAUAAGACUGGGAUAACUUCGGGAAACCGGAGCUAAUACCGGAUAAUAUAUUGAACCGCAUGGUUCCAUAGUGAAAGACGGUUUUGCUGUCACUUAUAGAUGGAUCCGCGCCGCAUUAGCUAGUUGGUAAGGUAACGGCUUACCAAGGCGACGAUGCGUAGCCGACCUGAGAGGGUGAGCGGCCACACUGGAACUGAGACACGGUCCAGACUCCUACGGGAGGCAGCAGUAGGGAAUCUUCCGCAAUGGGCGAAAGCCUGACGGAGCAACGCCGCGUGAGUGAUGAAGGUCUUCGGAUCGUAAAACUCUGUGAUUAGGGAAGAACAAAUGUGUAAGUAACUAUGCACGUCUUGACGGUACCUAAUCAGAAAGCCACGGCUAACUACGUG